RNAcentral lists this ribosomal RNA (451 nucleotides) under uncultured bacterium. Its description in RNAcentral is "partial 16S ribosomal RNA". It matches the Rfam family "Bacterial small subunit ribosomal RNA", at positions 29 to 523 of the family's 1533-position model. The record is from RNAcentral.
AAUGAACGCUGGCGGCAGGCCUAAAACAUGCAAGUCGAACACCUGUAGCAAUACAGGAGUGGCGCACGGGUGCGUAACACGUGGGAAUAUGCCUAUUGGUACGGAACAGCUCCGGGAAACUGGAAUUAAUACCGUAUGGUCCCUUCGGGGUAAAGAUUUAUCGCCAAUAGAUUAGCCCGCGGUGGAUUAGCUAGUUGGUAGGGUAAUGGCCUACCAAGGCGACGAUCCAUAGCUGGUCUGUGAGGACGAUCAGCCACACUGGGACUGAGACACGGACCAGACUCCUACGGGAGGCAGCAGUUAGGAAUAUUGGACAAUGGGCGCAAGCCUGAUCCAGCCAUGCCGCGUGAGUGAUGAAGGCCUUCGGGUUGUAAAACUCUUUAGCCGAUGAAUAUAAUGACUGUAGUCGGAAAAUAAGCCCCGGCUAACUUCGUGCCAGCAGCCGCCGUAA